Molecule: ribosomal RNA, 253 nt
Filed under: uncultured bacterium
Lineage: Bacteria
Description: partial 16S ribosomal RNA
Rfam family: Bacterial small subunit ribosomal RNA
Source: RNAcentral
UACGUAGGUGACAAGCGUUGUCCGGAUUUACUGGGCGUAAAGAGCGCGCAGGCGGUCGAUCAAGUCGAGUGUGAAAGCCCCCGGCUCAACUGGGGAGGGUCAUUCGAAACUGGUCGACUCGAAGGCAGGAGAGGGUAGUGGAAUUCCCGGUGUAGUGGUGAAAUGCGUAGAUAUCGGGAGGAACACCAGUGGCGAAGGCGACUACCUGGCCUGUUCUUGACGCUGAGGCGCGAAAGCUAGGGGAGCAACGGGG